RNAcentral lists this ribosomal RNA (253 nucleotides) under uncultured bacterium. RNAcentral describes it as "partial 16S ribosomal RNA". It matches the Rfam family "Bacterial small subunit ribosomal RNA", at positions 524 to 776 of the family's 1533-position model. The record is from RNAcentral.
UACGGAGGGUGCAAGCGUUAUCCGGAUUUAUUGGGCGUAAAGAGCUCGUAGGCGGCUUGUCGCGUCGAAUGUGAAAACUCGGGGCUCAACUCCGAGCUUGCAUUCGAUACGGGCAGGCUAGAGUUCGGUAGGGGAGACUGGAAUUCCUGGUGUAGCGGUGAAAUGCGCAGAUAUCAGGAGGAACACCGGUGGCGAAGGCGGGUCUCUGGGCCGUAACUGACGCUGAGGAGCGAAAGCGUGGGGAGCGAACAGG